UUUAAAAAUGUAUAAUUCAAAAACAUAAAAACUUAUUAUUAUUAUUUUUUAAUUAUUUAUUUAAAUAAUUAUUUAUCAUAUAUAUAGAGAACAAUGAUAUAAUAGCCACGUAAUGAAGAAAAUAUUUUGAUAAUGUAAAGAUAAAUAAUGGUACAAUGAAAGUCGUAAACAUGAAAUUCCCCCUUAAUGCAAUGAAAUACAUGUUAAAAAAAAGUCCAAACAUUUUCAAAUCUUUCAUUUGUUUUCAUUUCUGCUUUCCCUCACUUGCAAUAAAUUGAUUUUAAAUUGAAAACCGAGAAGAGUUAAUAUGGUAUCAAAACGGAUUCACAGAUCCGGAAAUGAUAAUUUCAGUUUAUGAAUAAAAUGCAAAACU
This 373-nucleotide long non-coding RNA is filed under the name Brassica napus (rape). RNAcentral's name for it is "long non-coding RNA (BNAP_LNC016103)". The record is from RNAcentral. Lineage: Eukaryota; Viridiplantae; Streptophyta; Magnoliopsida; Brassicales; Brassicaceae.